UACGUAGGGUCCGAGCGUUGUCCGGAAUUACUGGGCGUAAAGAGCUCGUAGGUGGUUUGUCGCGUUGUUCGUGAAAACUCACAGCUCAACUGUGGGCGUGCGGGCGAUACGGGCAGACUGGAGUACUGCAGGGGAGACUGGAAUUCCUGGUGUAGCGGUGAAAUGCGUAGAUAUCAGGAGGAACACCGGUGGCGAAGGCGGCCCUCUGGACGGAUACUGACGCUGAGGCGCGAAAGCGUGGGGAUCAAACAGG
Molecule: ribosomal RNA, 253 nt
Filed under: uncultured bacterium
Lineage: Bacteria
Description: partial 16S ribosomal RNA
Rfam family: Bacterial small subunit ribosomal RNA
Source: RNAcentral